This 726-nucleotide ribosomal RNA is filed under the name uncultured bacterium. RNAcentral describes it as "bacterial SSU rRNA". It matches the Rfam family "Bacterial small subunit ribosomal RNA", at positions 94 to 823 of the family's 1533-position model. The record is from RNAcentral.
AGCGGCGAACGGGUGAGUAACACGUAGGUGAUCUGCCCAUCAGACGGGGACAACGAUUGGAAACGAUCGCUAAUACCGGAUAGGACGAAAGUUUAAAGGUGCUUCUGGCACCGCUGAUGGAUGAGCCUGCGGCGCAUUAGCUAGUUGGUAGGGUAAAGGCCUACCAAGGCGACGAUGCGUAGCCGACCUGAGAGGGUGAACGGCCACACUGGGACUGAGACACGGCCCAGACUCCUACGGGAGGCAGCAGUAGGGAAUCUUCGGCAAUGGGCGAAAGCCUGACCGAGCAACGCCGCGUGAAUGAUGAAGGCCUUCGGGUUGUAAAAUUCUGUUAUAAGGGAAGAACGACUUUAGCAGGAAAUGGCUAGAGUGUGACGGUACCCUAUGAGAAAGCCACGGCUAACUACGUGCCAGCAGCCGCGGUAAUACGUAGGUGGCGAGCGUUAUCCGGAAUUAUUGGGCGUAAAGAGCGCGCAGGUGGUUGAUUAAGUCUGAUGUGAAAGCCCACGGCUUAACCGUGGAGGGUCAUUGGAAACUGGUCGACUUGAGUGCAGAAGAGGGAAGUGGAAUUCCAUGUGUAGCGGUGAAAUGCGUAGAGAUAUGGAGGAACACCAGUGGCGAAGGCGGCUUCCUGGUCUGUAACUGACACUGAGGCGCGAAAGCGUGGGGAGCAAACAGGAUUAGAUACCCUGGUAGUCCACGCCGUAAACGAUGAGUGCUAAGUGU